AGCAGCCGCGGUAAUUCCAGCUCCAAUAGCGUAUAUUAAAGUUGUUGCAGUUAAAAAGCUCGUAGUUGAAUUUCGGGGUUAGUAGGUUGGUCAUGCCUCUGGUAUGUACUGGUCUCACUGAUUCCUCCUUCCUGAUGAACUGUAAUGCCAUUAAUUUGGUGUUGCAGGGAAACUGGACUGUUACUUUGAAAAAAUUAGAGUGUUUAAAGCAAGCUAACGCUUGAAUACAUUAGCAUGGAAUAAUGAAAUAGGACGUUCGAUCCUAUUUUGUUGGUUUCUAGGAUUGACGUAAUGAUUAAUAGGGAUAGUUGGGGGCAUUAGUAUUCAAUUGUCAGAGGUGAAAUUCUUGGAUUUAUUGAAGACUAACUACUGCGAAAGCAUUUGCCAAGGAUGUUUUCAUUAAUCAAGAACGAAAGUUAGGGGAUCGAAGACGAUCAGAUACCGUCGUAGUCUUAACCAUAAACUAUGCCGACUAGGGAUCGGAUGAUGUUAAUUUUUUAAUGACUCAUUCGGCGCCUUA
RNAcentral lists this ribosomal RNA (520 nucleotides) under uncultured Glomus. RNAcentral's name for it is "SSU rRNA". It matches the Rfam family "Eukaryotic small subunit ribosomal RNA", at positions 569 to 1090 of the family's 1831-position model. Lineage: Eukaryota; Fungi; Glomeromycota; Glomeromycetes; Glomerales; Glomeraceae. The record is from RNAcentral.